UUUUUCCUGCUAGUUCAUUAUUAGUGUAUAGAAACGCAAAACAUUUUUGUGCAUUGAUUUUUAUAUUCUGCAACUUUACUAUAUUUUGUAUUAUUUCUAAUAGUUUUUGGUGAAGUAUUUAGAGUUUUGAUAUAUAAAAAUCAUGUGACCCACAAAUAGUGACAGCUCUACUUUUUACUUUCCAAUUUGGAUGUUUAGCUGGGCCUGCAAUACUAUUUUGAAUAAGAUUGGUGAGAGUGGAUAUCCUUCUCUUGGUCUUGGUCUUAGAGAGAUAGCUUUCAGUUUUUCACCACUGGGUAUGAUAUUAGCUGUGGGUUUGUCAUAUAUAGCUUUUAUUAUGUUGAGGUACAUUCCUUCCAUACCCAUUUAAUUGACAGUAUUUAUCAUAAACAUGUGUUGAGUCUUGUGAAAUAUUUUUUUCUGCAGGUAUUGAGUUGAUCAUAUAGGUUUUUAUCCUUCAUUUUUAAUUCAAUGCCUCAUGUUGAUUGAUUGCAGCUAUUGAGCAAUCCUUGCAUCCCUGGAAUAAGUUCUGCUUGAUUGUGGUGUCUGAUUGUUUUAAUAUAUUGUCAUAUUCAGGUUUGGGGUAAUUUUUUAUGUAUAUUCACUGGAGAUACUGUCCUUUAAUUAUUAUUUGUGUAUGUUUCCAUGAUCUGACUUUGGUAUCAGGAAAAUGUUGGCUUCAUAAGAUUAGUAAGUAGUAUUUUUUCUCUUUCAGUUUUUUGGAAGAGUUUGAGGUAUAUGGGUAUUAAAUUUGCUCUGAUAGAAUUCCCCUGUGAAGCUGUCUGGUUCUGGACUUUUGUUUGGGGGGUGCUUUUUGAUUACUGUUCAAUCUUUGUACUAGUGAUUGGCCUAUUCAAAUGUUCUUCUUUUCAUGAUUCAGCCUUAGAAGACUUUAUGAUUCUAAGAAUUUAUUUAUUCUCAGUUGUCCAGUUUGUUGGCAUAGAGUCAUUCAUAAUAUUCUCUUAUAAUCCUUAUUUUUUGGAGAAGGGAAGAGUAUUUUAGUAUACUUUUCAGAUAAUUGUGGAUAUUAUUUGAUAUUCAAAUUUUGACCAAUCAUAUUUUAAACAUUCAUUGCAAGGUAGAAUCUAGAAUUGAUGAACUUUUCAAAAUUUUGUUACCUUAAAAUCCAUGGGUUCAUAAUGCAUCUUGGUUUUGGGGUUUUUUAUAAUCAUAAUAAUAAUCAUAAUUAUUAUUACUAUUCAGGUAUGGUUGAUUUACAAUGUUAUAUCAAGUUCUGUGGUACUGCAAAGUGACCCAUCACACAUUUCACUGUCCUAUACAGUAAGGUUCCAUUUUCAAUCCAUUCCAUAUAUAAGAGUUUGCAUCCAAAAAACCCCCAAAAUGCCCAUCCAUCACACUCCCUCCCCUUUUCACCUUGAGAACCCUGCUCUCCUUGGUCAUGAUUUGUUUCUAUUUUUUGGGUGAUCUGUUUCUAUUUUUUGGGUUUGGGGUUUUUUUUUUUUUAGAUAGGGUCAUCUGUUCCAUAAUGUAGAUUCCACAAAUAAGUGAUGUCAUAUGGUAUUUGUCAUUUACUUUCUGGCUUACUUCAGUAAAAAAGUAUGAGAGUCUCUAGUUUCAUUCAUUUUGUUGCAAAUGGCAUUGGUCUUUUUAUGGCUGAGUAAUAUUCCAUUGUGUGUAUGUACCACAUUUUCUAAAUUCAUUUGUAUUUAUGUGGUAUUCAUUGUCACUUCUCUUUCAUUUUUGACUUUAUUAAUUGGAGACAUCUCUUUUUUUAGUGAGUCUAGAAAAGGCUUUUGAAUUUUGUUUAUCUUUUUAAAUACAGAUCUUAGCUUCAUUGAUAUUUUGUAUUGUCUUUUUAGUCUCUGUUUCUUUUAUUUCGCUCUGAUUUUUAUUGUUUCCUUCCUUCUACUGAUCAGGUUGUUUGUUCUCUUUUCUAGUUCCUUCAGACGUAAGAGAAGAUUGAGAUCUUCCUUUUUUUAUUCUUGAGGAUAUCCUUUUUUGCUAUAAACAUCCCUUGAACUAAUUUAGCUAUGUCCCAGAGAUUUGGAUAUGUUUAUUUUCAUUUUCAUCUGUCUUUAGGUAUUUUUAUUAAAUCUCUGAUUUCUUCAUUCACUCAAUAGUUGUUCUGUAGCAUGUUGUUCAGUCUCUUCCUAUUAGUGAGUUUUCUAGCUUUCUAUGUAUCUUGUAACUGAUUUAUAGUUUCAUACCAUUGUGACCAGAAAGAUAUUUGCUAUUAUUUCAAUUUCUUAAAUUUAUUGAGACUUGUUUUGUUUCCCAACAUAUGGUCUAUAAUUGAGAAAGUUCUAUGUGCUCUUGAGAAGAAUAUGCAUUCUGCUGCAUUUGGAUGGAAUGUUCUGUACAAAUCUAUCAUGUUUAUCUGCUCUAACAUUAUAUUUAAGGCCACUCUUCCCUUGUUGAUUUUCUAUCUGGAUGAUCUAUCCAUUGAUAUAAUCAUUAAAGUCCCCUACUCUUAUUAUAUUGCCAUCAAUUUCUCCCUUUGGGUCUCAAUAAUUGCUUUAUAUAUUUUGGUGCUCUUAUAUUAGACACA
Molecule: long non-coding RNA, 2509 nt
Filed under: Sus scrofa (pig)
Lineage: Eukaryota; Metazoa; Chordata; Mammalia; Artiodactyla; Suidae
Description: lncRNA (ENSSSCG00065006051.1)
Source: RNAcentral